AGGAGGCAGCAGUGGGGAAUAUUGCGCAAUGGGGGAAACCCUGACGCAGCAACGCCGCGUGAAGGAUGAAGGUCUUCGGAUUGUAAACUUCUUUGAUGAGGGAAGAAUAAAUGACGGUACCUCAAAAACAAGCCACGGCUAACUACGUGCCAGCAGCCGCGGUAAUACGUAGGUGGCGAGCGUUGUCCGGAAUUACUGGGUGUAAAGGGCGUGUAGGCGGGAUUGCAAGUCAGAUGUGAAAUUCCGGGGCUUAACCUCGGCGCUGCAUCUGAAACUGUAAUUCUUGAGUGCUGGAGAGGAUAGUGGUAUUCCUAGUGUAGCGGUGAAAUGCGUAGAUAUUAGGAGGAACACCAGUGGCGAAGGCGACUAUCUGGACAGUAACUGACGCUGAGGCGCGAAAGCGUGGGGAGCAAACAGGAUUAGAUACCCUAGUAA
RNAcentral lists this ribosomal RNA (435 nucleotides) under uncultured bacterium. RNAcentral's name for it is "bacterial SSU rRNA". It matches the Rfam family "Bacterial small subunit ribosomal RNA", at positions 343 to 793 of the family's 1533-position model. The record is from RNAcentral.